GUUUUAUUUGUCUAGCAAAUAAGAAUAGUAUAGGGUAUCUUUGAAAGAAAAAGAAAACUCACUUUCUGAGAGCUCACAGGGAGGUUAGCGUUUCAUCAGAGCUCACCAGGGAGGUUGCUCGUUUGUUUCUCUCAAAGAGAUUUGGAAAAGGUAUGUAAACUUUCUCCUUUUGCAUUUUGAUUUGGCAAAGGUUCGAAUUUCAAUUCCUUUGAAGUAGGGUGGAAGUUCAUUUCCUUUUGACUGGGUAGGGUUUGAAUUUCGAUUCCAUUGAAAUAUAUUGUGAAUGUUCUCCUUUCCUUUGAGUGGGUAGGGUUUUAAUUUCAAUUUCAUUGAAGUACUGUGGAAGUUUUCCUUUCCUUUUGAGUGUGUAGGUUUUCCUUUGAUAUUAUCAUGAGAAAGAGCUUAAAUUUUUGUUCUAAAAAUUUAAAUUGAUUCCAAUUCGCUGAUUCUAAAUGAACCAUAAAAGUUGUACUCUUCUUCUGCAUAAUAGUUGGAUUGUGAUUAUAUUGAUGUGGGUAUUAGUUUAGGAAGAAAGAAAGGUGUGAGACUAAUAAAAAAUAAGGCGCGAUGAAAUUUGUCAUGUUCUGAUGAUCAGAAAUCUUUAUAAAUAAUUUAAGAAAAUAUUAUCUGGUCUUAUGAAAAUGGGGAGAGAUCAGUAAGAACAGAUUCAUGUCGAAGAAAAUAUUCUUAAAAGAUAAGAAAUGCAAGAACAAGAAAUAUAAAAGGGAUCUUUGAAUUACAUCAGUAAGAAAGUUACCACUAAUAAUUAUGAAAAAACAAAGCAUUAUGACAGCAAAAGAACAACCAAUAUUGAGUUUCAUUAUACAAAGCAACUUAUAUUACAAUUUUUAUCGAGCUGGAGAAUUCUAAAUUCAUCCUACGUACUUUUUGGUAAAAAAUUAACUCAGAAAAGCUUUAAUUUUGAGAAGUAGGACAUAAUACACCUAGUGGACUCAUUUUAGGAUGCUUGUAGUCAUGUGACUUGCACAUGAGACUGGGUCCGUUAUAACAGAAGUUUCACAUAAGGAUGAAACUUGCUAAGUUUUGAAUACAUUAAGAAUGAUUUUUGUUCAAUAUGAUAGUUGAAGGAUGUACAUUAAGUUUUGAGUAUAGAUAAAGGAUGUUUUUUUUUUGUCAAAAACUCUAAAUUCCAAGCUAUUAUAUGUUUGCUUAUAGAUGGUGAGUGGUUAAGGUUUAGACAAAUGCACUUUGAUAGUUUUAUAAAUAAGGCAUUCAAGAAGAUGGGCCAAAGUUUGCUCAUUACCUAGUUUCUUUGUCACAAACUUGAAAUUGGUGUAGACUAGAAAGAAUAUAAUCACUUUUGAUUUAUAUAUUUUUACAGCUUUAAAAACUGUAGAUGAAUUUCUAUAACCUAUUUUUGAUUCAAGGGCAAGUCAUUAAUUCGGUGGUUAGUAUAUUUUGGAAAGUGGUUAAAAGACUCUAAACACUAGUUUAGUCUUGUAUCUAGUGCAUGCAAGAUUUUAAUGUUUAAGUACAAUUAUUGGAUCUGUUUGCAUUUGUAUUUGUAUGUUAACCCCUAGGUCAGAAGUUUGUGCAAUUUAAGAUGAUGAAAUCAUGUAAUAGCUUGACCAUUUUAAGUUAGCUUCAACCUUCAUGUGAGAACAGGUUAUCAGUUUGAACUUCCACUUGCAUCCAAGAUAGAUUGCUCUUCUAAAAUGUGUGACUUUAUUUUUCUUUGUUGUCUGCUCUGCUGAGUUUUAAGUGUGUGAUAUGUGUAAUCCUUUUAUGUAUUUUGUGGCAAAUGGUCCCAUGAAUAUUAGAGCCAAGAUUCUCAUAUUGUUAAGAGGAUUUAUGCUUCUAUUUCCUCACUGAAUUACUUGCUCUAUCAUCUACAUGGCAUGUUCUGCUUUGUAAUUGUUAUGACUUACAGUGUUUGUUUCAUCAACAAAUCUUACCAUGUAUCUGCUAUAUCAAAAUCCCCUUAUUUCCCCUUCCCUUUCCAUAAGACUGCAGAACAUGAGUUUAUCUUUGAUGAUUUAAGGAAAAACAACAUGCAGAACAAGUGUUAUUGAUCCAUAGAAAAUAUCAAAGAAAUGUUCCAUGUGGAGGUGCUAGACUAUGAAAUCAUAUAUAAACAAUUUGUGUAAUAUUAAUGAAUGAUGUAAAGGACAUCUCUCCUUUAUGUUUUGUGUCCUCAUUCUUAUUGCACGGACUAAAUUAGAUGAUCGAAAUAGCAAGUGACAUAAAGAUGAGGUUUAUCAUGCUCCACAUUUCUAUCUCUGGUACAAUGUUUUUAAAAAUGAAAAACGCAAAAUACGACAAGGUUCCACAUAGAAGAUCCAACUGGAUGUCCUUUGUGUCUUUGCGACUGUUAGCAUUUUAUAUUGCCGUAUCAGACACUGGACAAUGUAUCAACUUUUUAGUUCCACUUUCUUUCAUUAAUUAAAGCUAGUAACACCUCAAUAGAUGGAUUAUUGAGGUGUUACUAGCUUUUAUUAAUGAAAUUUCUGAUGGAUUAUUCAUCUCCAAAUGAAAUUUCUGAUGAAUGCAAUAUAGUGACAAGUAUUCUUUGUGGAAAUACUGCACUCUCUAAAUACCUAGCAAUAUAGUGGCAUAUAUUGUGUUUUUAUUGGUAACAAUAUAAUGGUAAACAUUCUUAUUUUCUAUAAUACUUUUCCAGCUUGCUUUUACAUGGUAUCUCUCUAUAGAACAAAAACGAUACCUACUCUCUCUAGAAGAAAUGUUGAUCUAAGCAAGAACAAAAACAUAUUUCAGUCAAGUUUUUUGAUUUACUAAUUUCUUAAGUCAGGUUAUAUAGAGAUAGACAUAGGAAUGAAAUAAAUAGACUGAAAUAUUAAAAGUUCUUGCAGAUCUGACACUGUCUAUCAAACUAAAUCAGUAGCAUAAUUUUUCUUUGGGUGAGUAAUAAUUUAUUUUGGAGAAACGGCAUAAGCUUCCCAGGUAAACUUUCUUUUGCUCUAUAAGCAUAAGCUUAUACUGAUUCUUGUCUACAUUUGACUUGCAAAAUUUAUUCAUUAGUUAGUGUUUAGACUUCACUUCCAAGUGGAAACAUUGUGCAUACUGGAGUUGUGUGAUACGGCAGAUGAUGCUUGGGGCAGAUGGAAAGGAUUUCCCUACAAUAUCAGAGAACAAAUAUGCAAUAAAUUUAAGGUAAAAAAUGUAUUUUUAUGUCAAUUAUCAAAUAUUGAAUUUUGAAUCUAAUGACAUUUUUCUAUGGUGUAGACGAAAUGUGUAUGGCAGUCAUAUUAUGAGAAGAAAAUAAAUUCUAUUUUUGAGAAGAAUGCUCGUAUACAAGUAACUGAAAUGUUGUUUAUAGCUUGAAAAAUAAUGAAAAGCCCAGUUGACUACGAGCAGACAUAUGGGUUAAAUUUUUGGAGACAUGGAACACUACUGAAUUUAAGGAGAAGUGUGAGCGAGCAGAGGUAGCUUGGACAUCCGUAAAGGGUGGCUGCUUACACACCGGAGGUUCUAUGAGUUUUGCAGCCCACAAAACGAAAAAUGACAUUUAUUUCAGGUUCAAUUUCAUAGAGGCUUGGAUGAAUGGCGUCAGACACAUCCUACUCAGAGGUUGAUUCCUCAUCAUCUAGUGCUAUUACAUCUAUAUGGAUAAAUGUGGCAGGAGGUGUGAAGAAAGGUAGAGUUUACGGAAUGGGAGCACAACCUUCCUCAUUUAAUUUUCAUCCAUCAUCAUUAUUGUCUGGUGCUUCUACUUCUCAAUCUUCAAAAUAAAUGGAAGCAAUGCAAAGACAAAUUUCAGAGCUUACAGAACGACUUCAAUCAUCUGAAGCUAACUUUGCUAAAGUGCAAAAAUUUAUGGAGAAACAUAUGGUUGAAUCUGAUGAAAGUGAAAGGACCAACUCUGAUGAAGAGUAGACUAUUUUAUAGUUGUGUAGAUAUAUUUUGUGAGAUUUAGAAAUGUUUUGAACAUUUUACUUCCUUUUUGCAUAAUAACUUAAUACUUAUUAGACUUGAUUUUGGUGAUGCUUGAGCUGUUAGACUCAAUUGAAUUGAAUAGAAAGCAAUAUGAAUGUUUUGGAAUGUAUUUGAUGUUUCAUAUUAUUUUUGAGUUUUUUGUGGA
Molecule: long non-coding RNA, 4060 nt
Filed under: Solanum lycopersicum (tomato)
Lineage: Eukaryota; Viridiplantae; Streptophyta; Magnoliopsida; Solanales; Solanaceae
Description: partial TCONS_00162139
Source: RNAcentral